Molecule: ribosomal RNA, 675 nt
Filed under: uncultured Bacilli bacterium
Lineage: Bacteria; Bacillati; Bacillota; Bacilli
Description: bacterial SSU rRNA
Rfam family: Bacterial small subunit ribosomal RNA
Source: RNAcentral
AGGAGGAGCUUGCUCUUCUGGAUGAGUUGCGAACGGGUGAGUAACGCGUAGGUAACCUGCCUCUUAGCGGGGGAUAACUAUUGGAAACGAUAGCUAAUACCGCAUAAAAGUCGACAUUGCAUGAUGUUGACUUGAAAGGUGCAACUGCAUCACUAAGAGAUGGACCUGCGUUGUAUUAGCUAGUUGGUGAGGUAACGGCUCACCAAGGCGACGAUACAUAGCCGACCUGAGAGGGUGAUCGGCCACACUGGGACUGAGACACGGCCCAGACUCCUACGGGAGGCAGCAGUAGGGAAUCUUCGGCAAUGGACGGAAGUCUGACCGAGCAACGCCGCGUGAGUGAAGAAGGUUUUCGGAUCGUAAAGCUCUGUUGUAAGAGAAGAACGAGUGUGAGAGUGGAAAGUUCACACUGUGACGGUAACUUACCAGAAAGGGACGGCUAACUACGUGCCAGCAGCCGCGGUAAUACGUAGGUCCCGAGCGUUAUCCGGAUUUAUUGGGCGUAAAGCGAGCGCAGGCGGUUAGAUAAGUCUGAAGUUAAAGGCUGUGGCUUAACCAUAGUACGCUUUGGAAACUGUUUAACUUGAGUGCAGAAGGGGAGAGUGGAAUUCCAUGUGUAGCGGUGAAAUGCGUAGAUAUAUGGAGGAACACCGGUGGCGAAAGCGGCUCUCUGGU